This 465-nucleotide ribosomal RNA is filed under the name uncultured bacterium. RNAcentral describes it as "partial 16S ribosomal RNA". It matches the Rfam family "Bacterial small subunit ribosomal RNA", at positions 28 to 507 of the family's 1533-position model. The record is from RNAcentral.
GACGAACGCUGGCGGCGUGCUUAACACAUGCAAGUCGAACGGAAAGGCCCUGCUUGCAGGGUACUCGAGUGGCGAACGGGUGAGUAACACGUGGGUGAUCUGCCCUGCACUUCGGGAUAAGCCUGGGAAACUGGGUCUAAUACCGGAUAGGAGCCAUUUUUAUGGUGAUGGUGGGAAAGUUUUUUCGGGGUAGGAUGAGCUCGCGGCCUAUCAGCUUGUUGGUGGGGUAAUGGGCUACCAAGGCGGCGACGGGUAGGCGGCCUGAGAGGGUGGACGGCCACAUUGGGGAUGAGAUACGGCCCAGACUCCUACGGGGGGCAGCAGUGGGGAAUAUUGCACCAUGGGCGCGAGCCUGAUGCAGCGACGCCGCGGGGGGGAUGACGGCCUUCGGGUUGGAAACCCCUUUCGCUAGGGACGAAGCUUUUUGUGACGGUACCUAGAUAAGAAGCACCGGCUAACUACGUG